CAACUGCAGUCUUCAACCAGCAACGACCCGCACGCCCCGCUGCGUGUGCUUCAAAUGAUGAGCAGAGGGGCAACGCAGUCACACCCUGCUGCUAAUGAGCCUGAGUGUGAGAAAGUCUGACCAUGGAGAUUCUCACUGCAACUCACGGAUGACUGGGUCCCUGUGGGGGAGACAUCAAGCCUGCAUGCUCCAGCUAAGCCAAUCCAAAAGACUGCAAGAAAGAAAGAAAUGUUAAGGGAAAUAUGCAGUUUGUGGAUG
Molecule: long non-coding RNA, 258 nt
Organism: Perca flavescens (yellow perch)
Lineage: Eukaryota; Metazoa; Chordata; Actinopteri; Perciformes; Percidae
Exons: 3
Source: RefSeq, a predicted model, not a curated record